Cinara cedri is the source of this 856-nucleotide non-coding RNA. The record is from the annotation of a GenBank genome assembly. Lineage: Eukaryota; Metazoa; Arthropoda; Insecta; Hemiptera; Aphididae.
AAUAAUUGAAUAGGUGAUUACCUAAACUGUAAUAACUUAUCUUUCAGGAUAAAUUAAUAAUCAAGUCCAAUUUAUAUUAACCUUUAGAUCUAACACAUAAAUUUACAAAUAAUAAAGAACUACCUUUUUUUUCCAAAUAACAACACUAUUUGGUGAUGGGUAUUGAAUAAAAGAGAUGAAAUAAUAAUACUAAAAUGGAUGUGUGGUUGGAUAUAAUUAGGAAUGAAGAGAUGGUAUCUAUUUUUUUAUAAUCUAAGAGUGAUGAGUUUAGUGAGUGUAGCAGUGAAAAUGAAAAAAAAAUGCAGAUCCAAGUACAGAUGGAAAAGGCAAUUUAAACGUAAAUUUUAAAAUAAAUAUUUGAUUAAAUAAAACCAUUCAUAAAUGUUUAUAAACACAAUAUGGUAAAAUACACCAAAUAUAAAUGCAACUAAUAAUCUAGCAAUGUAGGAACCUACCUAUCUAAAUUAAUUUAUCCACAAGGUACUUGUGUUAAAUUAAUUGAAUGUUGUUUUUUUUAUGGUCUACGUUUUGAACAAAAUUGUUCCAUUUCAAAUUUUAAUAGAUGCUCAACAUUGAAGCACCAUACUAUAAUUAAAUCUCGUUUUGCAAAUAAUACACUUGUAAAAUUAUAUUUCUUGUUCUUUGAACAGGAUUUAACAGACAUUUAAUAUGUUUUGUUAUUUAUUCAUGCAAGUUAAAAAAAUAAAUUAACUUACAGAUUAUAAUACUAUACCUAUCAAAUUAAAAACUCAUAAAUGUAUUAUGGAGAAUACAACCAAGAAUAUGACCAACCAAAUGGAAAUGAAACAAAAAUUGAUAUGUUAGACAUUAAUAUUUUUGACUAAGUUUGAACAUA